Molecule: ribosomal RNA, 515 nt
Filed under: Leaena ebranchiata
Lineage: Eukaryota; Metazoa; Annelida; Polychaeta; Terebellida; Terebellidae
Description: partial large subunit ribosomal RNA
Rfam family: Bacterial large subunit ribosomal RNA
Source: RNAcentral
UGCCUUUUGUAUAAUUAAUAAAAGGUAAAUCCUGCCCAGUGACCUACGGGUUAAACGGCCGCGGUACCCUGACCGUGCUAAGGUAGCAUAAUAAUUCGCCCUUUAAUUGUGGGCUUGUAUGAAUGGAUAAACGAGAGAAUAGCUGUCUCUUUAGCAUAAAUAAAAUUUGACCUUUAGGUGAAGAUGCCUAAAUAUAAUUAGAAGACAAGAAGACCCCAUAGAGCUUAGUUCUUAAACUUUAUUUUUGCAAAAUACUCAAUAUAUUUGUUUUAACAAGCUAAAAACUUAGCUGGGGCGGCUAAGGAAAUUAAUCUUCCAUUUAUAAAAUAUCUAGGCAAAUAAGCCAUAUAAAUUGACCCUUACGAUCAAAAAAUAAAGCUACCUUGGGGAUAACAGAUUAAUCCUUCUUGAGAGUUCACAUUAACAGAAGGGCUUGACACCUCGAUGUUGGCUUAAGAUACCCAGAGAGUCAGCAGCAGCCCUCAAAGGUAGGUUUGUUCAACCUUUAAAAUCUU